UUUGCCAUAGCUGCAACUUCGCGUACUUCGUUUGUGUUCAGCGACCAGACAAAGGCGUCACAGAACUCCACCUUGAUCAAUAAAGCUUUCAUCUUAUAUUCGCAAUAUCCAGAUUGCAAUCUCAGUUUCUUGCUUGUUCUUCGUUUGCUCGCAGGAAACAGACCCUCGUGGUCAGGUUGAUCGUGCUCCGGCGUGGUCGAUAACCUCUCGGAGUUGGUUUAGCGAUUGCUAAGGCGCGACGUCCUCGCACGUUCGUAGUCGGAUCGUCAAAGUCGACUUCCACCAAAGCGAUAUCCAUCAUCUCAUCGAAAGACGGCACACCUUUGCCUCAAUCAAGUGGUAUCAGUUUUCAGGUUGCUCGGUGAGAAUUUCCAGUUUCCCCUAGAUUAGAUUUAUUUUCUUACCUAUUGUCCAAGAAAAAGCCACAAAAAAGUUAGAUCUAUUCAUCCUUUUGUCCAAGCCAGUCUGAGCCUUUGCAAUUUUCUAUUCAUUGUUUGCAUUAUUGAAUUAUCGGUUGCAUCGUCGUGUCGAGUUGCUGGUCUUAGGGUCUAGUUCGUUUAGAGUUUCGAGUUCUGUUCACAUUAGUCACGUCGCCGCUGCAUCGUUAUCCCUUCUGUUGUCCACCACACCAUCCAUCAAAUUCCACCACGUGCUACCCAUAGUUCAUUGUCACAAUCAUAGUUGAGGUCGUUCACAUCUUCGCUUGAUCCAAUCUACAUCUUAUCUAGUUUGUCUUGGAAAGAGGGAGAGAAAAAAGACAGAGAAAAAGAAAGAAAAAGAAGUCAGAAAAAAAAGAGAAAGAAAAAAAGUGUGAGGAAAAAAAAGAGAGAAGAAAAAAAAACAAAAUUCGGAUCUAUCUAGACUCGAUCUCGUAGUUGAAUUCGGAUUGGAAUCUGUUUUGUGCACUGUUUAGUAAAACAGGCAUAACUUCCUCAUACGAAGUCCGUUUUGACUCCGCGAGUACUCAAAUGAGAGCUAGCGACGAGCCGCAUCUAAAUAGUUGCAGAGACUAGUUCAAUAUUUGACACCUCAAAAUCGUCUUCUAAAUAGGUCUUUUUGCCCUCCGAAGUUCGCGGACACAGCUUAUUCCAGUUUUUCAAGCCAGUUUCAGAAUUCUUUGACUCCUCAUAUCAACUCGGAAUUGAGUGAUUCUUUUUGCAUUGGAAAGCUUGAGUUAGUAGCAUUAUUUGAAAAAAAAAAUAUCAGAAAAUUGGCACAAACUUUUCAAGAGGAAAGUUGGAGAGAGUUGUUGUAUAUCCUGCUUGGCAGUUGUUUUUCAUCAUUAUCUUUACUGCCGUUGUGAUCUUCACUUAUAUCUUGCUGUCCAGAGCUACUUAGUAUCCUUCAUUGAUGCUAGUUGUGCUACGCCGUGACCUCAUUAGUGUUCUAGGCUCGCGUCUCUAGUCCGGUCUAGCCUAGGACCAGCACAGUACCGUCGUUGAGCGUUUAUUCAACAUUGCAUCUCUGAAUUGAUUAUUGCUAAUAUUUUGCUACCAUAUAUAGCCAACCCAGCUCCACAUAUUUCUACACCGUGUAUACGUACGUUCCCCUGGCAAUCGCUUUACUCAAUCUUUGGAGUUAUUUGACACCGCUGGUUGCCUGUCACCACCUGCUGCUUGGUAAGAACUUGUAAGAUAUUGAUAUUUGCUUUACUGUGAGUGCUUUACCACCACAUCCUAGUAGUUCAUAGGAACAUUAUUCUUGAAUUUUGUUUCUUGUUUCUACUAAUCAUGACAGGAUCUAGAGUCAAUUCAUGGGGUUUGUCGAUCGUGGGAGAUGUGCCAUCACCUAUGCAAAUACCACAACCGUCACGAGAGGUGCACAAACAUCCAAAUGCACAUGAUCAGGUUAAUGUUUCUAUACCACCAUUUAAUGGCCGUUUUAGACCUGCUUUAUAUAUUGAAUGGGUGUUUGACCUAAAUAAUAUAUUUGCUUCCAAUAAUUUUGAUGUACGUAAAAAAGUUAAGGUUGCGGUUGGUUCUUUCACUGGUUAUGCUGUAGUUUGGUGGAGUGAAUAUUGUCGGUUACACCCUAAUGAUAUACCUACUACUUGGGAUGAUUUGAAACUUGCCAUGCGACAUACAUUCGUUCCCGCUUAUUAUACUCGUGACAUGAUUACAAAGUUGCAACAUUUAAAACAAGGUAGUGACACCGUAACGAAAUAUUAUGAUACUUUACAAACUACCUUGCUGCAUUCCUCUUUAGAAGAAAGUGAAGAAGAUUUUAUGGAUAGAUUUUGGGGAGGAUUAAAUCGUGACAUUCAGGAGAUACUAAUACAUGAAGAGUGUUAUCCUAUGGACCAUUUGUUUCAUCUUGCUUGCAAAGCUGAACAGGAAAUAAAACGACGUGUUGCGCACAAGGAGAACAAGCGCGAGAUGCACAUUCCAAGAGUUGAUACGGUUGUCCCUUCAACUACUAAGCAUACUAUGACAACCUGAUGAGGACAUGACUACCUUGGAUACGACCAAAAAUAUUGCAUACAUGCAUAUUUGUCAGGUGAUUUCUAGUGCAAACUAUUCAAUAAUCUAUUUAUGUUAUCCAGAACAAAAAUACUUCACACACUUUUGUGUUUUGUCUAAUUGCAGGUGUAUGGGACAUUUGUACAAUCCACAUAUGAAGAUAAGGCAAAAGGAGAAGUUUAGGUUCUGUUCAAAAAGUCCUCUCACGUCACUUUUGGGCCAAGAGAAGAUAGAGUCCAAGUCUCUCACGUUCUGGAUUCAGAUUCGGACUGCACAGACAUACCUGACUCAAAACGCCAACAACUUUUUCAUACGGACUCCGAAUUGGGUGAUUCUUUUUUUGUUGGAAACUAGAUUUUGUGCUCUUUCCAACCCAAUUGGAUUCACCUUUAAAUUCGUCCGGAGCAUUGAGUUAUGGUCGAAACAAUCUGACGUUGCACCAGAAUCCGAGUCAAACUACAAGUCCAAAGGUGUUGCAUCACCUCCACUUGGGCCCAUGAGCCUUGUACGACCUAGGGUUGGUUUUAGGCUGCCUUGGGACGUCCUCCCACCUCCUUGGCCGCCACCCCUUGCUCCUAUAUAAGUAGAUCCAUCUAGUAGCUUUUUGCUUGGAAUUUGUUUAGUUAAAAGUUAGCCAUUGCAACUUCGUGUACUUCGUUUGUGUCCAACGACCAGACCAAGACCGCUUACGGAUUCCCACCACUAUCAAUACUUCAUAUAUAUUCGCAAUAUUCAGAUUGCAUUAUCAUAUUCUUGCUCGUUCUUCGAUUGCUUGCAGGAAUAGACCUUCGUGGUCAGGCUGAUCGUGCUUCCGGCAUCGUCAGUAACCUCAGGAGAUUGGUUUAGCGAUUGAUAAGGCGCAACGUCGUGCACGUUUGUAGUCGGAUCGUCAAAGUCGUCUCCACCAAAUCGAUAGUUAUCAUCUCAUCGAAAGAUCGGGACACCCUCGCCUCUAUCAAGUGGUAUCAGUUUUCAGGUUGCUCGGUGAGAAUUUCCAGUUUCUCCUAGAUUAGAUUUAUUUUCUUACCUAUUGUCCAAGAAAAAGCCACAAAAAAGUUAGAUCUAUUCAUCCUUUUGUCCAAGCCAGUCUGAGCCUUUGCAAUUUUCUAUUCAUUGCUUGCAUUAUUGAAUUAUCGGUUGCAUCGUCGUGUCGAGUUGCUGGUCUUAGGGUCUAGUUCGUUUAGAGUUUCGAGUUCUGUUCACAUUAGUCACGUCGCCGCUGCAUCGUUAUCCCUUCUGCUGUCCACCACACCAUCCAUCAAAUUCCACCACGUGCUACCCAUAGUUCAUUGUCACAAUCAUAGUUGAGGUCGUUCACAUCUUCGCUUGAUCCAAUCUGCAUCUUAUCUAGUUUGUCUUGGAAAGAGGGAGAGAAAAAAAAGACAGAGAAAAAAAAGAGAGAAAAAAGAAAGAAAAAGAAGUCAAAAAAAAGAGAAAGAAAAAAAAGUGUGAGGAAAAAAAAGAGAAGAAAA
This 3931-nucleotide long non-coding RNA is filed under the name Triticum aestivum (bread wheat). Its description in RNAcentral is "long non-coding RNA (TAES_LNC000176)". Lineage: Eukaryota; Viridiplantae; Streptophyta; Magnoliopsida; Poales; Poaceae. The record is from RNAcentral.